GCUUCCAUGGCUUAGUUGGUAAAGCGUCUCACUAGUAAUGAGGAGAUCAUCAGUUCGAAUCUGGUUGGAAGCA
Molecule: transfer RNA, 73 nt
Organism: Hanseniaspora osmophila
Lineage: Eukaryota; Fungi; Ascomycota; Saccharomycetes; Saccharomycodales; Saccharomycodaceae
Rfam family: tRNA
About the family: Transfer RNA (tRNA) molecules are approximately 80 nucleotides in length. Their secondary structure includes four short double-helical elements and three loops (D, anti-codon, and T loops).
Source: Rfam